CGGACGGGUGAGUAAUGUCUGGGAAACUGCCUGAUGGGAGGGGGAUGACUACUGGAAACGGUAGCUAAUACCGCAUAACGUCGAAAGACCAAAGAGGGGGACCUUCGGGCCUCUUGCCAUCGGAUGUGCCCAGAUGGGAUUAGCUUGUUGGUGGGGUAAUGGCUCACCAAGGCGACGAUCCCUAGCUGGUCUGAGAGGAUGACCAGCCACACUGGAACUGAGACACGGUCCAGACUCCUACGGGAGGCAGCAUG
Molecule: ribosomal RNA, 254 nt
Filed under: uncultured bacterium
Lineage: Bacteria
Description: partial 16S ribosomal RNA
Rfam family: Bacterial small subunit ribosomal RNA
Source: RNAcentral